UGGCUCAGAACGAACGCUGGCGGCAUGCUUAACACAUGCAAGUCGCACGGGCAGCUUCGGCUGUCAGUGGCGGACGGGUGAGUAACGCGUAGGUAUCUAUCCUCGGGUGGGGGACAACCACGGGAAACUGUGGCUAAUACCGCAUGAUGACUGAGGUCCAAAGGCGCAAGUCGCCUGGGGAGGAGCCUGCGUCCGAUUAGCUUGUUGGUGGGGUAAAGGCCUACCAAGGCUCCGGGCGGUAGCUGGUCUGAGAGGAUGAUCAGCCACACUGGGACUGAUACACGGCCCAGACGAAUACGGGAGGCAGC
This 308-nucleotide ribosomal RNA is filed under the name uncultured Acetobacteraceae bacterium. Its description in RNAcentral is "bacterial SSU rRNA". It matches the Rfam family "Bacterial small subunit ribosomal RNA", at positions 20 to 352 of the family's 1533-position model. Lineage: Bacteria; Pseudomonadati; Pseudomonadota; Alphaproteobacteria; Acetobacterales; Acetobacteraceae. The record is from RNAcentral.